ACUCGGGUUAUUGGUGACAGAAACAGUUGGGAGGUGGAGAGAGGUGGGGAUGCCUAGGGCCUGGGAACAGUUCUCGAGAGUUUCAAGAAACAAUCCUUUGGUGAAAGGCCAGCAGGAGAAAGAGUAAGGAAUCUGGAAAUGGGAGGAGGCUCCUAAUGAAUAUUGACUUUUCUGCCCCUCCAGCUCACAGGUAAUACACCUGCU
RNAcentral lists this long non-coding RNA (204 nucleotides) under Bos taurus (domestic cattle). RNAcentral's name for it is "long non-coding RNA NONBTAT024883". The record is from RNAcentral. Lineage: Eukaryota; Metazoa; Chordata; Mammalia; Artiodactyla; Bovidae.